GAUGAAGAACGCAGCGAAAUGCGAUAAGUAAUGUGAAUUGCAGAAUUCAGUGAAUCAUCGAAUCUUUGAACGCACAUUGCGCCCCCUGGUAUUCCGGGGGGCAUGCCUGUCCGAGCGUCAUUUCUGCCCUCAAGCACGGCUUGUGUGUUGGGCCCCGUCCUCCGAUUCCGGGGGACGGGCCCGAAAGGCAGCGGCGGCACCGAGUCCGGUCCUCGAGCGUAUGGGGCUUUGUCACCCGCUCUGUAGGCCCGGCCGGCGCUUGCCGAUCAACCCAAAUUUUUAUCCAGGUUGACCUCGGAUCAGGUAGGGAUACCCGCUGAACUUAAGCAUAUCAAUAAGCGGAGGA
RNAcentral lists this unclassified non-coding RNA (346 nucleotides) under soil metagenome. RNAcentral's name for it is "partial contains 5.8S ribosomal RNA, internal transcribed spacer 2, and large subunit ribosomal RNA". The stretch from base 1 to 120 matches the Rfam family "5.8S ribosomal RNA", at positions 35 to 154 of the family's 154-position model. The record is from RNAcentral.